Molecule: ribosomal RNA, 468 nt
Filed under: uncultured bacterium
Lineage: Bacteria
Description: partial 16S ribosomal RNA
Rfam family: Bacterial small subunit ribosomal RNA
Source: RNAcentral
GACGAACGCUGGCGGCGUGCUUAACACAUGCAAGUCGAACGGAAAGGCCCUGCUUUUGUGGGGUUCUCGAGUGGCGAACGGGUGAGUAACACGUGAGUAUCCUGCCCUUGUCUUUGGGAUAACAUCAGGGAACAGGGGCUAAUACCGGAUAGGAUCUCCUGCUGCACGGUGGGGGAUGGAAAGAUUCGGCGGUUGUGGCUGGACUCGCUGCUUAUCAGCUUGUUGGUGGGGUAGUGGCUUACCAAGCCUUUGACGGGUAGCCGGCCUGGGAGGGUGACCGGCGACAUUGGGACUGAGAUACGGCCCAGAAUCCUACGGGAGGCAGCAGUGGGGAGUAUGGCACAAUGGGCGGGAGCCUGAUGCAGCAGCGCCGCGUGCGGAAUGACGGCCUUCGGGUUGUAAACAGCUGUCGACUGUGACAAAGCGGGAGUGACGGUAAUGGGUAAAGAAGCACCGGCUAACUACGUG